This 359-nucleotide transfer RNA is filed under the name uncultured Microcystis sp. RNAcentral's name for it is "partial 16S-23S ribosomal RNA intergenic spacer". The stretch from base 135 to 208 matches the Rfam family "tRNA". The record is from RNAcentral. Lineage: Bacteria; Bacillati; Cyanobacteriota; Cyanophyceae; Chroococcales; Microcystaceae.
AAGGGAGACCUAAUUCGGGUAUAAGACGAAAAAAAAGUAGUCGCUACCAAGAAUCAAUCCCAAAAGGUCGGAGCAAGGCGAAAUUGGCUUUCAAACUAGGUUCUGGGUUCAAACAAGACCUGAAUCAGGAACAAGGGCUAUUAGCUCAGGUGGUUAGAGCGCACCCCUGAUAAGGGUGAGGUCCCUGGUUCGAGUCCAGGAUGGCCCACCUGCACAGGUGGCAAAAACAAGAGAAGCGAGGAAUCAGCACCUUAUCUUACUCAUAUAGUAAGAGAGAAUGCUGGCUCUGAGUAAAGAGUCCAGAGGAACCUUGAAAACUGCAUAGAGCUUGGUGAAAAAGCCAAAAAAGAAGACCGCAA